UUGAUUAAAAAGACAAUUUCGUUUCUACUACUUAUCCAAAAUUCAUGUAAUUCAUCAUUUAGGGGCGGAUUGACUAUGUAUUUUUCUUUUUUUAACGGUCGACCGAAUCAAUUCCAAGCAUUCUCAGGGCAUCUACUUGACCAGGGCCGGUUAUAGCCAAGUGCUGGAGGGUCUUGAGAACAGGGCCCAAAUAAUUAAGGGGCCCAAAAAUUUUUAAGUUUUCUUUAUAUAUACAUAGCCCAAAUUUCUUACCGAUUACAGGCCCAAUCCCUUAACUGAUUUCAGGCCCAACCUUUGUCAAAAAUCUAAUUGCCGCUAGAGAAAUCAAACGUCGCGGUUCUUGAUCUUUAGUUCUGCACUAGGGAUUUCAGAUUUCUGAUCGAACAACCAGCCAGCCAGAGGCCCAGAAUCCAGAUCGCAGAGACGCAGAAUCGCAGAUUAAAGUCAGCAUCUGAUAAUAGUCAGCAUCAUAAUCAUUCUCGCAAUCUCGCAGAUAAGAUAAUAGUCAUCAUCAUCACCGCUGCAGCCUGCAGGUGCAGGAAAUCAAUCAUCGAGACUCGAGAUUUUACAGUUUAGACUGAUAUAGACUGCAGGAAAUCAAACGUCGAGUGAUCGAGUCGAGGUAUCUUACUGUUGUUUAUUUAGAUUUUAGACUGAUUUAUGUUAAUUUGUUUUAUAUAUUU
Long non-coding RNA from Helianthus annuus (common sunflower), 683 nucleotides. RefSeq lists it as uncharacterized. NCBI's taxonomy places the organism in Eukaryota, Viridiplantae, Streptophyta, Magnoliopsida, Asterales, Asteraceae. The transcript has 2 exons. The record is from RefSeq and is a predicted model, not a curated record.